UAAUACGUAGGGUGCAAGCGUUAAUCGGAAUUACUGGGCGUAAAGCGUGCGCAGGCGGUUGUGCAAGACAGGUGUGAAAUCCCCGGGCUUAACCUGGGAACUGCACUUGUGACUGCACAGCUGGAGUACGGCAGAGGGGGAUGGAAUUCCGCGUGUAGCAGUGAAAUGCGUAGAUAUGCGGAGGAACACCGAUGGCGAAGGCAGUCCCCUGGGCCUGUACUGACGCUCAUGCACGAAAGCGUGGGGAGCAAACAGGAUUAGAUACCCUGGUAGUCCACGCCCUA
Molecule: ribosomal RNA, 284 nt
Filed under: uncultured bacterium
Lineage: Bacteria
Description: partial 16S ribosomal RNA
Rfam family: Bacterial small subunit ribosomal RNA
Source: RNAcentral